Small nucleolar RNA from Ornithorhynchus anatinus (platypus), 137 nucleotides. Lineage: Eukaryota; Metazoa; Chordata; Mammalia; Monotremata; Ornithorhynchidae. The record is from RefSeq and is a predicted model, not a curated record.
CCCCUCUCAGGAUUGCACUUAGAGAGAUUCCAGUAUUCUACCAGUCUCGGCUUCCAGGGGGAGAGUCAAGCAGAGGCCUACCCAUUCCAUUCCUAGCUUGGCAGUGGCUAGCGAGUGGAAGGCAAUCUGCUACAAGU